Molecule: ribosomal RNA, 345 nt
Filed under: uncultured bacterium
Lineage: Bacteria
Description: bacterial SSU rRNA
Rfam family: Bacterial small subunit ribosomal RNA
Source: RNAcentral
GGGGGCAWYYCUGACCGARCACCGCCGCGUGAGUGAAGAAGGUUUUCGGAUCGUAAAGCUCUGUUGUAAGUCAAGAACGAGUGUGAGAGUGGAAAGUUCACACUGUGACGGUAGCUUACCAGAAAGGGACGGCUAACUACGUGCCAGCAGCCGCGGUAAUACGUAGGUCCCGAGCGUUGUCCGGAUUUAUUGGGCGUAAAGCGAGCGCAGGCGGUUUKWUAAGUCUGAAGUUAAAGGCUGUGGCUCAACCAUAGUUCGCUUUGGAAACUGUCAAACUUGAGUGCAGAAGGGGAGAGUGGAAUUCCAUGUGUAGCGGUGAAAUGCGUAGAUAUAUGGAGGAACACC